GGAAGACCAGAUCCUGAAGAGGGUGCAAUGUCUUUGAAAUUUGAUGAUCGGACGUCAUUGAAUGAAAAUCCUUUGCAGUCAUGUCCCAUGGACAACUCUGGCACUCGUAAGAAUUGUCAGGUUCCUGAUGGAAAUGUACAUCAAGGUUGGGAAUUUCCAAUUAGCGCGGCUAAGGCUUUUCUUGCUCAGAGAUGGAAGGAGGCUAUGGCUGGAGAUCAUCAUGUUAGUGCGUUGUCCUGACACUAAGUUCUCAGAGCGCCCAGAAGAGCCAAGUAGCAGUUCAGUAACAGCCCCAGCAUCAGAUUCUGGGGAAGAUUCCGCUGUUUCCAGCGUUGACGAUCUGCUGCCAAAAGAUGGAGUUGUUCAGUCAUCUUCCAGUAGAACAAAUAAAGUCAAGUUUAGGCCAGAGGCUGAAAAGGGUAUUAAGAUAAAGUACAUUCUCAAGCCAAAAACCCAUCAUUUAGGAAGUGAAAGGUAAC
This 479-nucleotide unclassified non-coding RNA is filed under the name Hevea brasiliensis (rubber tree). Lineage: Eukaryota; Viridiplantae; Streptophyta; Magnoliopsida; Malpighiales; Euphorbiaceae. The record is from RNAcentral.